RNAcentral lists this ribosomal RNA (440 nucleotides) under uncultured bacterium. RNAcentral describes it as "partial 16S ribosomal RNA". It matches the Rfam family "Bacterial small subunit ribosomal RNA", at positions 338 to 795 of the family's 1533-position model. The record is from RNAcentral.
CCUACGGGAGGCAGCAGUGGGGAAUAUUGCACAAUGGGGGAAACCCUGAUGCAGCGACGCCGCGUGCGUGAAGAAGUAUUUCGUUAUGUAAAGCUCUUUCAGCAGGGAGGAAAAUGACGGUACCUGACUAAGAAGCCCCGGCUAACUACGUUCCAGCAGCCGCGGUAAUACGUAGGGGGCCAGCGUUAUCCGGAUUUACUGGGUGUAAAGGGAGCGUAGACGGCAGGGCAAGUCUGGAGUGAAAGUCCGGGGCUCAACCACGGGACUGCUCUGGAAACGGUGCGGCUGGAGUGCAGGAGAGGUAAGCGGAAUUCAUGGUGUAGCGGUGAAAUGCGUAGAUAUUAGGAGGAAAACCAGUGGCGAAGGCGGCUUACUGGACUGUAACUGACGUUGAGGCUCGAAAGCGUGGGGAGCAAACAGGAUUAGAUACCCUAGUAGUC